This 253-nucleotide ribosomal RNA is filed under the name uncultured bacterium. Its description in RNAcentral is "partial 16S ribosomal RNA". It matches the Rfam family "Bacterial small subunit ribosomal RNA", at positions 524 to 776 of the family's 1533-position model. The record is from RNAcentral.
UACAGGGGGGGCAAGCGUUGUUCGGAAUUAUUGGGCGUAAAGGGUUCGUAGGCGGUCGACUCAGUCAGACGUGAAAUCCCUCGGCUUAACCCCGGGCGUGCAGUGGAUACGGGCUGGCUGGAGGCAGGCAGGGGAGAACGGAAUUCCCGGUGUAGCGGUGAAAUGCGCAGAUAUCGGGAGGAACACCGGUGGCGAAGGCGGUUCUCUGGGCCUGUACUGACGCUGAGGAGCGAAAGCGUGGGGAGCGAACAGG